Molecule: ribosomal RNA, 1332 nt
Filed under: uncultured bacterium
Lineage: Bacteria
Description: bacterial SSU rRNA
Rfam family: Bacterial small subunit ribosomal RNA
Source: RNAcentral
GACGAACGCUGGCGGCACGCUUAACACAUGCAAGUCGAACGAGAGAAGAGAAGCUUGCUUUUCUGAUCUAGUGGCGGACGGGUGAGUAACACGUGAGCAAUCUGCCUUUCAGAGGGGGAUACCGAUUGGAAACGAUCGUUAAUACCGCAUAACAUAAUUGAACCGCAUGAUUUGAUUAUCAAAGAUUUAUCGCUGAAGGAUGAGCUCGCGUCUGAUUAGCUAGUUGGUAAGGUAACGGCUUACCAAGGCGACGAUCAGUAGCCGGACUGAGAGGCUGAUCGGCCACAUUGGGACUGAGACACGGCCCAGACUCCUACGGGAGGCAGCAGUGGGGAAUAUUGCACAAUGGAGGAAACUCUGAUGCAGCGAUGCCGCGUGAGGGAAGAAAGGUUUAGGGAUGUAAACCUCUGUCUUUCAGGACGAAAAAUGGCCGUACCUGAAGAGGAAGCUUCCGGUAACUACGUGGCAGCAGCCGCGGUAAUACCUAAGGAGCGAGCGUUGUCCGGAAUUACUGGGUGUUAAGGGAGCGUAGCGGGAUCGCAAGUCAGAUGUGAAAACUAUGGGCUUAACCCAUAAACUGCAUUUGAAACUGUGGUUCUUGAGUGAAGUAGAGGUAAGCGGAAUUCCUAGUGUAGCGGUGAAAUGCGUAGAUAUUAGGAGGAACAUCAGUGGCGAAGGCGGCUUACUGGGCUUUAACUGACGCUGAGGCUCGAAAGCGUGGGGAGCAAACAGGAUUAGAUACCCUGGUAGUCCACGCCGUAAACGAUGAUUACUAGGUGUGGGGGGACUGACCCCUUCCGUGCCGCAGCAAACGCAAUAAGUAAUCCACCUGGGGAGUACGACCGCAAGGUUGAAACUCAAAGGAAUUGACGGGGGCCCGCACAAGCAGUGGAGUAUGUGGAUUAAUUCGAAGCAACGCGAAGAACCUUACCAGGUCUUGACAUCGUAUGCAUAGCUCAGAGAUGAGUGAAAUCUCUUCGGGGACAUAUAGACAGGUGGUGCAUGGUUGUCGUCAGCUCGUGUCGUGAGAUGUUGGGUUAAGUCCCGCAACGAGCGCAACCCUUACUGUUAGUUGCUACGCAAGAGCACUCUAGCAGGACUGCCGUUGACAAAACGGAGGAAGGUGGGGAUGACGUCAAAUCAUCAUGCCCCUUAUGACCUGGGCCUCACACGUACUACAAUGGCUGUCAACAGAGGGAAGCAAAGCCGCGAGGUGGAGCGAACCCCUAAAAGCAGUCUUAGUUCGGAUUGUAGGCUGCAACCCGCCUACAUGAAGUCGGAAUUGCUAGUAAUCGCAGAUCAGCAUGCUGCGGUGAAUACGUUCCCGGGCCU